This is a long non-coding RNA of Gymnodraco acuticeps, 3020 nucleotides long. RefSeq lists it as uncharacterized. NCBI's taxonomy places the organism in Eukaryota, Metazoa, Chordata, Actinopteri, Perciformes, Bathydraconidae. The record is from RefSeq and is a predicted model, not a curated record. The transcript is spliced from 5 exons.
CACCUUGUCGUGGUGAGUGGGCUUUCAACCAAGCCAGGCCACACCGUUGAAAAGUACUGAUCUAAUAACAGAUUUGUUCUUGAAUCAACUUUUUCAUGUAAUUUUAUUUCAUUUUAAAUAAAAUGAAACAUUCACAGUUAAUGUAAUUAGAUUAUACAUUAUUAAUGCCAUAUAUUUUUGCAUACAUUCACAGUACAUAUUUAUUCAGUAUGAUAGCUGUCUAACAGAAGUUAAAUCCAUUUCUCACUUAUUCUGACAAUCUACUUAACCCAAAAUAAAAGAACCCAAUAAAAAUAGUUGUUAAAUAAUAGAGAAGUCACGUUAUAAUAUGAAGUCACGUUGUAAUAACAAUAACUAAUCUAACUAACUAACUAAUCUCUCUCGUUCAGAUUAAUAUUGUCGGGUGUUCUUUUUCUGCUUUGCCAAAGACCACUGUGUCAAGUGUCCCAUUUGGGUUGCCGUAUGUAGCAGACCAUCUCGCACAUGCGCAGUACAGAUCGGGCAGAUCGGUAGUGACCAUGGUAGUGACAGAGGUAAUCGUCGUAACCAGCAGUCUUCAUCCGCCUCUAUCCAGUCUUUGACACUUGGAAAACGAGCACAUGUGAUACUGAGCGCCAUGGCUGAUAUUGAACCACCUGUUCGAUUGCUGAUCAUCUUGAACGACCACAACAGCGUCAGACUGGAGCUUCGAAAUGGGAUUCCCAACUCAAUGGAAGAGCUCAUUGAGGAGGUCAAGAAUUCAUGUGGAUUAGAAGGUUACAUAAGGCUACAGUACAAAGACACAUUUUUGGAACACAUUUGUUAAUCUUACAUCUACACAUGCGAUUAAAGAUUUAACAGUGAUCAAAGUUGUCGAAUUAGACCCCGAUUCUACAACUGUGGUUUUGUACCCAGUUGAGAUACCAUUAAAUAGUACCCCUACAAGUGGACUGUACAGUGAAGACUCCUCUGGAUCUGUGAAUACAGAUGACCCAGUACUACUUAGCGGCUCUUCCUCAGAAUCAUUAAGAACACAGCAGUGGCCAAAAGUGUUUCCAAUCCCGGUCUUCUCCUAUGACACAGAAUGUCAAUUACAGAGAGGAAAUGCAGAGUACACAAAGAACCAAUCUAGACUGACACCAAGCUCAAAUCAUCUGCAGAGCUUGCUGUGAACUCGUUGAAGACCAAGUCUCAAGAAGAGUCCUACCCUGCGAAGAAUUUUAAAGAGAGCCAGGCGAGCUGAUGCCAACCAUUUUCCAUCCUUGCCGAUUGGUGAGACUCCAGAAAGCAUGGAGCAAGAGACAAUUUCCCUUUUGGCAGAACAACAGAAAAGAAACAACCGGCAAUCAAUAAAAGAAAAGAUGGCGAAGGCGUUUGGAUACCGAAGACAAGAAAUAGUGCAUCGGAGGCCAAGCAUUGAAGGCCUCUUGGAGCGGUGGCCUGCACUUUUUCACAUGGAAGAGUAUUUUUUGUUUUCUAUGCUGCUUAUAUUUUCUAGGUAAAUGCUGAGUUAAUGCGCAUAACAACAAUUCCAUUGGAGACAAAGUUCUUGGCGCAGUUGGACAAACACUCAGGUCAUCAGGAGCAGGGGAGGAGUUGUGAAACAGAAGACCACCGGGAUCUUGCAGGUUUUGGAUGAGACUGUGGACAUCGCCAUCAGAAGAGAAUGCAUCCUCAAAUCUCUAAUGAUCUACCUGGGUGAACCUGUUGACCAUCUCAUCAAAGAAUUCCAGGACGCUGAGGCUGGAGAACUGGAGCAGGCAACAAUGGAAGCCUUUGACACUGGGAAAGAGGAUCAGCUUCAUCGACCCAAAGACGUCAAGGUUCUCAUCGAAGGAACAGAGGUCCUCAGCGGCUUGCCCUCGGUUGCGACAGCUUUUGCCAUGCUCUUCGGGCUCAUAUACGCACUGAAAUGGGGCGAAGCCUGCGAGCUAGUUCAGGCAGUCAACUCGAGCACUUAUGCUGCAUUCAUACAUAACGCCCCCUUGCCACUCUACAACCAACCAAACAGAGUCUCCUUAAUAUGCCGCUCUAUUUAACCUGCCAGAUCUCUCUCCAUGCAUUGCUUGCUGCUGCUAUUGCUGCAGAUACCUCUACGUCGCUGCUGCUCGCUGCCCCACCACCACCCCAGCUUCCACCUGUAGGCUCGGGGGUUAGUUAUUUGAUCAUCACUCAUCGUGCUAUGUAUAUCUAUGGAGUGAUGAUGCCCGAGCCUAGUCGCCAAACUCAACUAUAUGCUGCUUCUAAUAAACAUGUUAAAGGAACACGUGAGUUGUCUGACUGAACUUAAGAUAUCAGAAAUAACUGCAAUCCACUUUUGAAGUUGUGCAAAAAGUCCUGAUGGAGGGGAAAAAGAUGAGCCCAAAAGUGAAUAGACUGAGAACCCAGCUGGUAGACACUUUGUUGCACUCACUCACAGUUACCAUUGUUACAUGGUAAGGUUUCUAAAACCAAGGUUUUAUAAUAAUUAUGCAUUGUAAAACAUUUGCGAAAAAGUGUUGUGUUCAGAAGUUGCACUUACAGUAUGACCGAUUUUCACUGUAGAAGUUAUGCAUGUCUAAUCAUUUUCAGAGAUUACAUGUCUCACAGGCGCACGUUGUCAGUGUUGCUUUAAAAAAGUGUGCAGUGGAUAAUAAGGACAUGUCUUUUUUCUAAGAGUUUGAUGUUUGGAAGCGGCCCACAUAUUACCGCAUUUUAACUGUGGUACUUAUUAACAUGUCUAAGAUCAGGUAAUGGCUGCCUCAGAGGCCAAAGCUGGUUGUGUGAACAACUUGUUUUUCAUUCAAAUGAAUGUGCUCUGGUGUUAAAAUAUACAGAUUGAUCUGAAGAAAUUGAGUCAUUGUAAAAUAUUUCGUGUGAUUGAUUACUCUAAUAUUUUUUUGUUGGUACAACGUUUUACUUUUAUUAGUGUACCUUUCAGUUCCAUUGCACUCCUUAAACGUGUUUGAGACACUUUAGAUAACAAUGUGGCUGUCAUUUGAUUAACUCUGAAAAUACAGAGGUUUUUAUUGAAUAAAUCACCCAAAAAUCACAUGAAUUGA